This 595-nucleotide unclassified non-coding RNA is filed under the name Hevea brasiliensis (rubber tree). Lineage: Eukaryota; Viridiplantae; Streptophyta; Magnoliopsida; Malpighiales; Euphorbiaceae. The record is from RNAcentral.
AAUUAUCUGCAUAUGACUUGACCUGAAAGCAGAAUAAAACAAGCUCCAAAUGAUAAGAGAUAUAAUACAUAUAACUGUUUACAAGUACUUAAAGAAAUGGGAGUGUAGGCGCAGUUAAUAACAGUAUAUAAAGACUUGUCACUUUAGGCAUCAAGUCAACGAUCAGCCCAAGGAUCAAAGGUUCUUCAAGCACUUAGUACAAUUCCGUGAUUUUCAUAAUGACAUCACAGUUGGAUUUUACAUUUCAGAACAAUUUUCGCAAUGAAUUAGUAAUGGGAUUUUAGAUCUGUAAGAUGGGCCAUUAUGUUGGAGCAUAUAUUGUACCACCUUCAAUUAUUAUGCAACCAUCCUGUACCUUGAAUGGAAUUUCAGUAGCAUGGUCAAUUAGUACGAACCCAACAUAUUGAUAGACAACCUUGAUGGCAACCGGUAGGAUAUUAGCGAAAAUUAAACUACCCGAACCUGAAUCCUAUUAAUAUUAUCAAAGCCCAAACACGUCCCCAACACGUUUAAAAUUUAUUCUCAAUGGUCAAAACCCGAUUAUUAUUAUAAAAAAAAAAACCCGAACCUGUUUAAUUUUAUAUAUUUUAAUUAA